Molecule: unclassified non-coding RNA, 187 nt
Filed under: uncultured Sagenomella
Lineage: Eukaryota; Fungi; Ascomycota; Eurotiomycetes; Eurotiales; Trichocomaceae
Description: sequence contains ITS1
Source: RNAcentral
CCGAGUGAGGGUCCCUUGCGGGCCCAACCUCCCACCCGUGUUUAACUAUACCGUGUUGCUUCGGCGGGCCCACUGGGGCCUGUUCCCGGUCGCCUGGGGGGGUGAAACCCCCCGGGUCCGUGCCCGCCGGAGACCCCUUGAACCCUGAGUGAAUCGAGUGUCGUCUGAGUUUGAAUUAAAUCAUUUA